RNAcentral lists this ribosomal RNA (484 nucleotides) under uncultured bacterium. RNAcentral's name for it is "partial 16S ribosomal RNA". It matches the Rfam family "Bacterial small subunit ribosomal RNA", at positions 30 to 507 of the family's 1533-position model. The record is from RNAcentral.
AUUGAACGCUGGCGGCAGGCCUAACACAUGCAAGUCGAGCGGAUGAAGGGAGCUUGCUCCUGGAUUCAGCGGCGGACGGGUGAGUAAUGCCUAGGAAUCUGCCUGGUAGUGGGGGAUAACGUCCGGAAACGGGCGCUAAUACCGCAUACGUCCUGAGGGAGAAAGUGGGGGAUCUUCGGACCUCACGCUAUCAGAUGAGCCUAGGUCGGAUUAGCUAGUUGGUGGGGUAAAGGCCUACCAAGGUGACGAUCCGUAACUGGUCUGAGAGGAUGAUCAGUCACACUGGAACUGAGACACGGUCCAGACUCCUACGGGAGGCAGCAGUGGGGAAUAUUGGACAAAGGGCGAAAGCCUGAUCCAGCCAUGCCGCGUGUGUGAAGAAGGUCUUCGGAUUGUAAAGCACUUUAAGUUGGGAGGAAGGGCAGUAAGUUAAUACCUUGCUGUUUUGACGUUACCAACAGAAUAAGCACCGGCUAACUUCGUG